Molecule: ribosomal RNA, 494 nt
Filed under: uncultured bacterium
Lineage: Bacteria
Description: partial 16S ribosomal RNA
Rfam family: Bacterial small subunit ribosomal RNA
Source: RNAcentral
GACGAACGCUGGCGGCGUGCUUAACACAUGCAAGUCGAACGGAAAGGCCUGCUUUCCCUUGUGGAUUGCGGGUACACGAGUGGCUAACGGGUGAGUAACACGCGCCUGAUCUUCCCCCAACUUGGGUAUAAGCCUGGGAAACUUGGUCUAAUUUCCUAUAGGGCUUCAGGGUGGUUCCUGUGGUUGACAGCGGGUGUCUAGUGUUUGGGGAUGAGCUCGCGGCCUAUCAGCUUGUUGGUGGGGUAAUGGCCUACCAAGGCGGUGACGGGUAGCCGGCCUGAGAGGGUGGCCGGCCACACUGGGACUGAGAUACGGCCCAGACUCCUACGGGAGGCAGCAGUGGGGAAUAUUGCACAAUGGGCGGAAGCCUGAUGCAGCGACGCCGCGUGAGGGAUGACGGCCUUCGGGUUGUAAACCUCUUUCAGUAGGGAGCAAGGAACCUGGUUGGAAGGGGGUUGACGGUACUGGUAGAAGAAGCGCCGGCUAACUACGUG